RNAcentral lists this ribosomal RNA (266 nucleotides) under uncultured bacterium. RNAcentral's name for it is "partial 16S ribosomal RNA". It matches the Rfam family "Bacterial small subunit ribosomal RNA", at positions 1226 to 1500 of the family's 1533-position model. The record is from RNAcentral.
UACAAUGGCAGGUACAGAGGGGUGCUACCGGGUGACCGGAUGCCGAUCUCGAAAACCUGUCCCAGUUCGGACUGGAGUCUGCAACCCGACUCCACGAAGCUGGAUUCGCUAGUAAUCGCGCAUCAGCCACGGCGCGGUGAAUACGUUCCCGGGCCUUGUACACACCGCCCGUCAAGCCAUGGGAGCCGGGGGUACCUGAAGUGCGUAACCGCGAGGAUCGCCCUAGGGUAAAGCUGGUGACUGGGGCUAAGUCGUAACAAGGUAGC